Long non-coding RNA from Lycium ferocissimum, 344 nucleotides. RefSeq lists it as uncharacterized. The transcript is spliced from 3 exons. NCBI's taxonomy places the organism in Eukaryota, Viridiplantae, Streptophyta, Magnoliopsida, Solanales, Solanaceae. The record is from RefSeq and is a predicted model, not a curated record.
AAUCACUCAAAAGAAAGAAAAAGAAAGGUGCCGUCACCAAUCUUCAAAUUUCUCAACUCCAUAACUAGGCCUUUUAGCCUCAACUUCAACUAAUCUCUUUUAUGAUCCAGAAUUGAAUACGCCUGCCAAUGAAUAUUUGUACCCGAAAACUUGUUUCAUCUUUUAUGACCCACAUGGGUUAGGAAACGUCGACAGAUUUUUUGUUAGCCAUGGGCAUGGAGUUGCUGAUCAGGAAGAGCUCAAGGUCAACAAUCAAAUGAUGCAAAUCCAACACUUUUGGAUGAGUAAUGAAAGCAUCAAAAUCGACGGGCACAUGAAUAAUCAUUCUUUUUUCUUGCAUUUAU